This 77-nucleotide transfer RNA is filed under the name Aeropyrum sp. RNAcentral describes it as "tRNA-Ala". It matches the Rfam family "tRNA". Rfam says of the family: Transfer RNA (tRNA) molecules are approximately 80 nucleotides in length. Their secondary structure includes four short double-helical elements and three loops (D, anti-codon, and T loops). The record is from RNAcentral. Lineage: Archaea; Thermoproteati; Thermoproteota; Thermoprotei; Acidilobales; Acidilobaceae. RNAcentral also lists the same sequence under 1 other name.
GGGCCGGUAGCUCAGCCUGGAAGAGCACCGCCCUCGCACGGCGGAGGUCCCGGGUUCAAAUCCCGGCCGGUCCACCA